RNAcentral lists this ribosomal RNA (1360 nucleotides) under Salmonella enterica. RNAcentral describes it as "partial 23S ribosomal RNA". It matches the Rfam family "Bacterial large subunit ribosomal RNA", at positions 1592 to 2925 of the family's 2925-position model. The record is from RNAcentral. Lineage: Bacteria; Pseudomonadati; Pseudomonadota; Gammaproteobacteria; Enterobacterales; Enterobacteriaceae.
AACAAAUGCCCUGCUUCCAGGAAAAGCCUCUAAGCCUCAGGUAACAUCAAAUCGUACCCCAAACCGACACAGGUGGUCAGGUAGAGAAUACCAAGGCGCUUGAGAGAACUCGGGUGAAGGAACUAGGCAAAAUGGUGCCGUAACUUCGGGAGAAGGCACGCUGACACGUAGGUGAAGUGGUUUACCCAUGGAGCUGAAGUCAGUCGAAGAUACCAGCUGGCUGCAACUGUUUAUUAAAAACACAGCACUGUGCAAACACGAAAGUGGACGUAUACGGUGUGACGCCUGCCCGGUGCCGGAAGGUUAAUUGAUGGGGUCAGCGCAAGCGAAGCUCCUGAUCGAAGCCCCGGUAAACGGCGGCCGUAACUAUAACGGUCCUAAGGUAGCGAAAUUCCUUGUCGGGUAAGUUCCGACCUGCACGAAUGGCGUAAUGAUGGCCAGGCUGUCUCCACCCGGGACUCAGUGAAAUUGAACUCGCUGUGAAGAUGCAGUGUACCCGCGGCAAGACGGAAAGACCCCGUGAACCUUUACUAUAGCUUGACACUGAACACUGGUCCUUGAUGUGCAGGAUAGGUGGGAGGCUUUGAAGUGUGGACGCCAGUCUGCAUGGAGCCAUCCUUGAAAUACCACCCUUUAAUGGCUGGUGUUCUAACGUGGGCCCGUGAACCGGGUUGCGGACAGUGUCUGGUGGGUAGUUUGACUGGGGCGGUCUCCUCCUAAAGAGUAACGGAGGAGCACGAAGGUUGGCUAAUCCUGGUCGGACAUCAGGAGGUUAGUGCAAUGGCAUAAGCCAGCUUGACUGCGAGCGUGACGGCGCGAGCAGGUGCGAAAGCAGGUCAUAGUGAUCCGGUGGUUCUGAAUGGAAGGGCCAUCGCUCAACGGAUAAAAGGUACUCCGGGGAUAACAGGCUGAUACCGCCCAAGAGUUCAUAUCGACGGCGGUGUUUGGCACCUCGAUGUCGGCUCAUCACAUCCUGGGGCUGAAGUAGGUCCCAAGGGUAUGGCUGUUCGCCAUUUAAAGUGGUACGCGAGCUGGGUUUAGAACGUCGUGAGACAGUUCGGUCCCUAUCUGCCGUGGGCGCUGGAAGAUUGAGGGGGGCUGCUCCUAGUACGAGAGGACCGGAGUGGACGCAUCACUGGUGUUCGGGUUGUCAUGCCAAUGGCACUGCCCGGUAGCUACAUGCGGAAGAGAUAAGUGCUGAAAGCAUCUAAGCACGAAACUUGCCCCGAGAUGAAUCUUCCCUGAGCCUUUAAGGCUCCUGAAGGAACGUUGAAGACGACGACGUUGAUAGGCCGGGUGUGUAAGCGCAGCGAUGCGUUGAGCUAACCGGUACUAAUGAACCGUGAGGCUUAACCUUACA